Molecule: long non-coding RNA, 2788 nt
Organism: Tripterygium wilfordii
Lineage: Eukaryota; Viridiplantae; Streptophyta; Magnoliopsida; Celastrales; Celastraceae
Exons: 2
Source: RefSeq, a predicted model, not a curated record
UUAUGGUGCGAAGUGCGAACCUUCUGAUCAAAUAUAACGGAAAAGUGAACCUCCAAAUCCCAAAUACGGCCUCCGGAGAACUGAAGCUUCCUUUGAACUCUCUCUGCACACAUCGGAGCAUAAACGUUUUAUGUUUCGUUUACUCGUCUCUCUGACUAUGGCAUCUCCCCUCCUCUCUCUUCGCUCCUCCAAUUGAUCCUUUCCCUUUCUCUGCUCCCCUAACCUCAGAAGCGAAGCGUCUCUCCAGCUCUCUUCAUACUUCAGCGGACCAUUGCCGCUGCCGCCGAGUAAGGUCUCUAACCUCCGUUUUAGAUAACUCUUCUAGUUUUGUCGUCUUCACUCAAAUCUAGGGUUUGUGUACUGUGUCUCUCUCACUCUGACAUCUCCUCUCCUUCGUGCUCUCUGUUAUCUCUUCAACUGAAUAAUCCUCCUCUCCGAUCCUCUUCUCCUCUUACCUCAGGAGCGAAAGACGGAAAUACUUUCAGUUUUGGAGAACUUUAGUGUCCUUCGAACACUCUUUACAAACUUCAGUGCACCAUCGCCGUGUCCACGGAGCAAUCGAAAGUGUUUCCGCCGCCUCCAACUUCUGUGUCAGAAAUCUCGUUUCGGAUGUAUCCAGAACAGCCAAUUUCACUCUCGAGCCAGAGCCUUGCAGAACGAAGCUAUUACCGGUUUUCACUGCUUGAAGACUCCCAAGGCCUUCGUUUCGUCCACGAAGACAUGGAAAGCCGGAAAAGUGUUGCAAUUAAAGAAGGUGAUUUUCUUUCUAAUAAAGCUCACAUGUUUGCUCAUUCUCUGCACAUCGACUUUCAAAAGAGUGAAGUUAAUCUUUGGACUGGUAUUUCUCUUAUUAAUUCUGACUCUGUUUGCCCUUAGGAUGAUAGCAACCCUGCCAUCUUUCAGAAAAUAAGUAUCCUUUUACUUUUCGUGCCGUUGGAGAAACUUGAUCAAGUACGUCAGAUUAAUAUGGCUGUAUUUUGGUUGCACAUGAAGUAAUUAUAUUAUCCCGUUAAUUCUAAUUCACUUAUUCCAUGUAUAUCUAACACACCUAAUCAUUAUAUGCUGUUCCAUUUGUAAGUAGCUUAUAUUCUGGUGCCUAUACUUUGAAUGCCUUGGAAUUUUGUCAGCUUUGGAAGUAUCUUUUCUAUAUACUUUUUCUUUAAUAUCUCACAUGUAAAAGUGAGGUUCGUUGAUAUCCUUGUUCUUUUUCAUUUUUAUAUACUGAUUUAAUGUUGAUUUUUACUUCACAACCAGGGCAAGUGUUUUUUUACCCAAUUAAGUUUCCCAUCCAUCUACAAAGCAUGUUCCUCAUAUAUUCCCCAUUUAAAUUUGGCCGAGAUAUUUGGUUUGGUUUAUUUACAGUUGCCAAGGCAUUCUGGAUUCCUUCCCAACCUUUCCACACUUGCUCUUCAUCAUUCUGAGUUAUAAACCAAAAAAAUUUGAAAUUCCGGAUUUUAUGUAUUUUAUUUCCCGUCUUAAAAUGAAGGUAGAGAAAGAUGAGGGAAUAAAUUAAGACAGGUAAAUCUUUCGAUUUUCAAAUAACUUAUGCUUCAUAUAUUUUGUAUUAGCCCUAGCUAUCUCAAAAUCUUUUGAGUUCAAAGCUUGUCUCCAUGUUUUCUAUUUGAGAGUCUCUUGAUAUGUUCUCAUCCAUUAAGACAACCAAUAACAUGUGUCAAGGGACUGCGUCUUAAAUAGAUGCUCUUUGCAUUUCGCCUAUGUUUUUUAGAAUUUAUUACCUCCCUCCUUUUAAAGAAUUUUUUAACCACUUAUAAGCCAAAAUACUUCAUCUUGAGUUCAUGCAUUCUAUGAUCGAAGUACUCUCUUGCCGAUGCAAAUAUCUUUUGCUAGAUUACAAUUUAUAAGUUUCUUACAUUCUCAAAUGCAAUUUGUAACUAACUUAAUGCAAAAGAUGACUUAAACUUCUAACCACGCCUAUUGAAGGUCGUCAGUAAGGUAAUGGGCAUUUCAGACUAAUGUCACUGUUGCAGGGAAAUUGUUAUGAUGAACUGAUGUCUGAAGUAUCAGACCAUCUGCGAUAUGACAAGGUAAGACUAAUACUUUUCAGUUUUCACUAUUCUUUGGGGGAUUGCUUGAAAAAAUGACCAUGGAAUAAGGCUAUUUAAUUUAAUUAUUAUGGCUAUUUAAAAAGUUCAUUGCAUUCAUCGGAAGUAAAUGCAUAUUCUAGUUGGACUGCAUGUUAGAGAAGUGAUGAAUGUUCAAGAAUUGGCCAUCUUUAUGAGGUUGAUUUACGUAACUAACCGAGUCACCAUGUACCAUAUGUUUUCUCAUUUCUGGAACUUUGCCCACACCAGCGAUCUGUCUUUUUGGAUUUUUUUUUUGGAGUUGCAUCUGUGCAGUGGCAUGAAUAUAAUACAUGUACCUAUUAUUAUAAUGUCUAAUUGUUGACUCAAUCUUUGAGUUGCUAGUAGGAUUUGGGGAGUAAGUAACUACGGUAAGUUCUGUUCUGCUUAUAUCAUGCUUGAUGUAUGGCCACGUUUGUCCCGUACUCUUGUUCAUUGUUAAUGUUGUGUUAUUAUUAGUAUAUUUGGUAAUGUUGCCAUACGAACGUCCUGUGUCAAGGUAACCUUUAUUUAUAUGGUCAACGAACUUUGUAAUGGAAUGACAAGCCUGGUUACAUACGCUAUGAAACUUUGUUGAUAAAUUUUAGUCAUGCCCCUAAGUUUAUUAAAAAUAUUCCAAUUUAAGUUGAUCAUCCCUUAUAAAAUUAAGUUGACAUGGUGUAUUUAGUAAAUAUUGGGGUGGUUAAGGUUUACCAUCUCUUUGCUGU